This 251-nucleotide ribosomal RNA is filed under the name uncultured bacterium. RNAcentral's name for it is "partial 16S ribosomal RNA". It matches the Rfam family "Bacterial small subunit ribosomal RNA", at positions 524 to 776 of the family's 1533-position model. The record is from RNAcentral.
UACGAAGGGGGCUAGCGUUGCUCGGAAUCACUGGGCGUAAAGGGCGCGUAGGCGGCCGAUUAAGUCGGGGGUGAAAGCCUGUGGCUCAACCACAGAAUUGCCUCGAUACUGGUUGGCUUGAGACCGGAAGAGGCAGCGGAACUGCGAGUGUAGAGGUGAAAUUCGUAGAUAUUCGCAAGAACACCAGUGGCGAAGGCGGCUGUCUGGUCCGGUUCUGACGCUGAGGCGCGAAAGCGUGGGGAGCAAACAGG